AAUUUUGGACAAUGGGGGAAACCCUGAUCCAGCCAUCCCGCGUGUAUGAUGAAGGCCUUCGGGUUGUAAAGUACUUUUGGCAGAGAAGAAAAGGUACCUCCUAAUACGAGGUACUGCUGACGGUAUCUGCAGAAUAAGCACCGCCUAACUACGUGCCAGCAGCUGCGGGCAUACGUAGGGUGCAAGCGUUAAUCGUAAUUACUGGGCGUAAAGCGUGUGUAGGCGGUUCGGAAAGAAAUGUGUGAAAUCACAGGGCACAACCUUGGAACUGCAUUUUUAGCUGACGAGCUAGAGUAUGUCAGAGGGGGUAGAAUUCCACGUGUAGCAGUGAAAUGCGUAGAUAUGUGGAGGAAUACAGAUGGCGAAGGCAGCCCCCUGGGAUAAUACUGACGCUCAGACACGAAAGCGUGGGGAGCAAACA
This 421-nucleotide ribosomal RNA is filed under the name uncultured bacterium. Its description in RNAcentral is "partial 16S ribosomal RNA". It matches the Rfam family "Bacterial small subunit ribosomal RNA", at positions 360 to 774 of the family's 1533-position model. The record is from RNAcentral.